AGCGCGCGCUUGAUAAGCGUGAGGUCGGAGGUUCAAGUCCUCCCAGGCCCACCAGUUUAUCCAUUACUUUCAUAAGUGCUUUUAAAAAAUAAGUACUUCUAAAAAGAUUGCUUCUAAAAAGCUUAUCAAAAUUGGCAGGCUUAUUGCUUUUGUGUGAGUAAUCCAAAGUUAAAGCAAAUUAAUGGCAAAAAAACAGUUCAAAUGCUAAAUACUAAGGAGUCAAAAUUCCUUGCAAAGUGAUUUUUACAGCGUCCAUUUGGUUGAUAUAAAUUCCAAAUGCUCAUAGACGUCAAUGCCUAUAUGAAACUAUCGGUUCAAUCAUAUCGCUUUGAGUUAUAUAGAUUUUGUAAUCCCUCUUUUGAUCGUUUUAAACGCUUUAUCCUGAUUUAGGGGCCGUAGCUCAGCUGGG
Molecule: unclassified non-coding RNA, 409 nt
Filed under: Bartonella henselae
Lineage: Bacteria; Pseudomonadati; Pseudomonadota; Alphaproteobacteria; Hyphomicrobiales; Bartonellaceae
Description: partial contains 16S-23S ribosomal RNA intergenic spacer, and tRNA-Ile
Rfam family: tRNA (bases 1-51)
Source: RNAcentral